UUCGGCCAUGAGUACAGCGGCGAACGGGUGAGUAACACGUGGGUGAUCUGCCUCGGAGUGGGGGAUAACCUGGGGAAACUCGGGCUAAUACCGCAUACGUCGGCAGGGCUACGGCCCUGUCGGGAAAGCCGGCCUCUGCUUGCAAGCUGGCGCUUUGAGAGGAGCCCGCGUCUGAUUAGCUAGUUGGUGAGGUAACGGCUCACCAAGGCGACGAUCAGUAGCCGGCCUGAGAGGGUGAUCGGCCACACUGGGACUGAGACACGGCCCAGACUCCUACGGGAGGCAGCAGUGGGGAAUAUUGGACAAUGGGCGAAAGCCUGAUCCAGCAACGCCGCGUGGAGGAAGAAGGCCUUCGGGUCGUAAACUCCUGUCAGGUGGGAAGAAAACGCGGGGGUGAAUAACCCUCGCGGUUGACGGUACCAUCAGAGGAAGCCCCGGCUAACUCCGUGCCAGCAGCCGCGGUAAUACGGAGGGGGCGAGCGUUAUUCGGAAUUAUUGGGCGUAAAGGGCGCGCAGGCGGCCUGGCAAGUCUCGGGUGAAAUCCCUCGGCUCAACCGAGGAAUUGCCCUGGAUACUGUCGGGCUCGAGGCCGGGAGGGGGUAGCGGAAUUCCCAGUGUAGCGGUGAAAUGCGUAGAUAUUGGGAGGAACACCAGUGGCGAAGGCGGCUACCUGGACCGGUUCUGACGCUG
RNAcentral lists this ribosomal RNA (690 nucleotides) under uncultured Acidobacteriota bacterium. RNAcentral's name for it is "bacterial SSU rRNA". It matches the Rfam family "Bacterial small subunit ribosomal RNA", at positions 79 to 748 of the family's 1533-position model. The record is from RNAcentral. Lineage: Bacteria; Pseudomonadati; Acidobacteriota.